This 391-nucleotide unclassified non-coding RNA is filed under the name soil metagenome. Its description in RNAcentral is "partial contains 5.8S ribosomal RNA, internal transcribed spacer 2, and large subunit ribosomal RNA". The stretch from base 1 to 122 matches the Rfam family "5.8S ribosomal RNA", at positions 35 to 154 of the family's 154-position model. The record is from RNAcentral.
GAUGAAGAACGCAGCGAAAUGCGAUACUUGGUGUGAAUUGCAGAAUCCCGUGAACCAUCGAGUCUUUGAACGCAAGUUGCGCCCGAAGCCAUUAGGCCGAGGGCACGCCUGCCUGGGCGUCGCACGUCGUUGCCCCCCCAUCUACUCCUUCGGGAUUGCGGGGGGCGGAUGAUGGCCUCCCGUGCGCCUCGCCGCGCGGUUGGCAUAAAUGCCAAGUCCUCGGCGACGCACGCCACGACAAUCGGUGGUUGCGAAACCUCGGUUGCCCGUCGUGUGCGGUCGUCGCGCAUCGAGGGCUCGAAAAAAUUGCCGGGUUCCGGCUCGGCUUUCAACGCGACCCCAGGUCAGGCGGGGUUACCCGCUGAAUUUAAGCAUAUCAAUAAGCGGAGGA